GAUGAACGCUGGCGGUAUGCUUAACACAUGCAAGUCGAACGGAAUCUUCGGGGUUAGUGGCGGUGGGGUAAGGAACACCGGAUAAUCAGGCCUUGAGUAACCUGCCCCCAAUGGAAACGGAACCUAAUACAGGAUGUGCUGAGACGUAAUAGAGGAAUUGCCUGCAGAUGAGCGCGCGGCUGAUUAGCGAGGUGGGGAGGGAACGGCCCACCAAGGAAGCGAUCAGUAGCUGGUGUGAGUGGCAGACCAGCCACACUGGGCCUGAGACACGGCCGAGACUCCUGCGGGAGGCAGGAGUGGGGAAUUGUCCGAAAUGGGCGAGAGCCUGACAGAGCAAUACCGCGUGAGGGAAGAAGGCUCUUGGGUUGUAAACCUCUUUUCUGAGGGAAGAACAAAAUGACGGUACCUAAUGAAUCAGCACCGGCUAACUCCGUG
This 435-nucleotide ribosomal RNA is filed under the name uncultured bacterium. RNAcentral describes it as "partial 16S ribosomal RNA". It matches the Rfam family "Bacterial small subunit ribosomal RNA", at positions 28 to 507 of the family's 1533-position model. The record is from RNAcentral.